UGGUAUACUCAAACCUGCUGGUACGUAUAUGUGUUUUACUGGGGGGUCAUUCCAACAUAUUGUGUGAUUAUUUAAAAACUAAAAAUUCGAUCUCUGGUGUUGCAGCGGAAUAGCCUAAACUGAUAUUUACUAUUCUUGGUAAAUCGCGGAGAAGAGCGGCCUGAACAAAAAAGACUGAUCAAACAGGCCGGUACCUUGGAACCUCCCGCUGCGUAGGACAAAGAGACGCCGAGUGGCUCGUGCCGUCCGUUUGGAUAUCGGUGGCAAAGUUUGGAUAUCGUUGCAAGAUCUAGAGCGGAUCUCCACGUUUAGGAUACAGACCACAACGCUUUGGACGUGUCUUUAAAAAAGAGAAAAAUCAGAGACUUUAUGGACUUGUCUUCGAACAUUUUAAACAUUUUGUGGCAGCGCGGAUUUUACACAGUUCGGAU
Misgurnus anguillicaudatus (oriental weatherfish) is the source of this 431-nucleotide long non-coding RNA. RefSeq lists it as uncharacterized. The record is from RefSeq and is a predicted model, not a curated record. NCBI's taxonomy places the organism in Eukaryota, Metazoa, Chordata, Actinopteri, Cypriniformes, Cobitidae.